Molecule: non-coding RNA, 76 nt
Organism: Podarcis lilfordi (Lilford's wall lizard)
Lineage: Eukaryota; Metazoa; Chordata; Lepidosauria; Squamata; Lacertidae
Source: the annotation of a GenBank genome assembly
GGGGAAGAACAUAGCGCAGUGGUAGAUCAUUUGCCUUGCAUGUAGAAGGUCCCAAUUUCAAUCCUUGGUGUCUCCA